This 450-nucleotide ribosomal RNA is filed under the name uncultured bacterium. Its description in RNAcentral is "partial 16S ribosomal RNA". It matches the Rfam family "Bacterial small subunit ribosomal RNA", at positions 329 to 794 of the family's 1533-position model. The record is from RNAcentral.
UUCCAGACUCCUACGGGAGGCAGCAGUGGGGGAUAUUGCACAAUGGGGGGAACCCUGAUGCAGCGACGCCGCGUGGGUGAAGGAGCGUUUCGGCGCGUAAAGCCCUAUCGGCAGGGAAGAAGAAAUGACGGUACCUGAAUAAGAAGCACCGGCUAAAUACGUGCCAGCAGCCGCGGUAAUACGUAUGGUGCAAGCGUUAUCCGGAUUUACUGGGCGUAAAGGGAGCGCAGGCGGCGCGCCAAGUCUGAUGUGAAACCCCGGGGCUCAACCCCGGGCAUGCAUUGGAAACUGGCGGGCUGGAGUGCCGGAGAGGUAAGCGGAAUUCCUAGUGUAGCGGUGAAAUGCGUAGAUAUCAGGAGGAACACCGGCGGCGAAGGCGGCCUGCUGGACCGCGACUGACGUUGAGGCUCGAAAGCGUGGGGAGCGAACAGGAUUAGAUACCCUCGUAUC